This 384-nucleotide ribosomal RNA is filed under the name uncultured bacterium. RNAcentral's name for it is "bacterial SSU rRNA". It matches the Rfam family "Bacterial small subunit ribosomal RNA", at positions 30 to 416 of the family's 1533-position model. The record is from RNAcentral.
AUUGAACGCUGGCGGCAUGCCUUACACAUGCAAGUCGAACGGCAGCGGACCUUCGGGUGCCGGCGAGUGGCGAACGGGUGAGUAAUAUAUCGGAACGUACCUUUCAGUGGGGGAUAACGUAGCGAAAGUUACGCUAAUACCGCAUAUUCUGUGAGCAGGAAAGCAGGGGAUCGCAAGACCUUGCGCUGAUUGAGCGGCCGAUAUCAGAUUAGCUAGUUGGUGAGGUAAAGGCUCACCAGGGCGACGAUCUGUAGCGGGUCUGAGAGGAUGAUCCGCCACACUGGAACUGAGACACGGUCCAGACUCCUACGGGAGGCAGCAGUGGGGAAUUUUGGACAAUGGGCGCAAGCCUGAUCCAGCCAUGCCGCGUGAGUGAAGAAGGCC